CGUUCGUAUAGAGUUCGGUCAUCGUUCGUACAUCAUUCGUAUAUCGUCCGUACAACGUUCGGUCAGCGUUCGUUCAUCGUUCGUUCAUCGUAUGGUAAAUGUCACCGUUGAGGGUUUUGUUAUAACGUAUGGUUCAUGGUAUCGUUAAUCGUUUUAUUUGUCGUAUGGUUUAUGGUAUGGUUUAGCGUUUAGCGUUUAGCGUUUCGUUUAUCGUAUGGUAUGUGCUAUCGUUUAGCGUUUCAUCAAUCGUAUGGUAUAUCGUUUUGUUAAGCGUCUGAUAUACACGUAUGUUUUGGUUUUAUUUUAUAAAGUUAUUUCAAUUAUUAUAGUUUUGAGUUAAAAUGAUUUAAUAUAAAAAGAUGCGGGAUAAAAAAAAAACAAUUAUUAGUUUGAAUUGGAUUAAAUCUCUAACUAAUAUCAUUAUGGAAUAUAUAUAAAACGAAUAGGAAACGUUUCUUCCAUCACAUUUUGACAUGAAUAACAUGAGACCAAAUACCGUGAUAUAAGUCAGACUCUCUAUGUCUCUCUCUCUCUCCUCCGCCAAACAUUUCUCUGAUCCAAAUAUUUCCUUGACACAAUAAAUUAUAAAGAAUGUUCUAUAAAUGAGGCUUUAUAUGAAGUACAUGUUUUAUAUUUAAAUGUAUUAAAAAAAAAUACAAC
This 660-nucleotide long non-coding RNA is filed under the name Mytilus galloprovincialis (Mediterranean mussel). The record is from RNAcentral. Lineage: Eukaryota; Metazoa; Mollusca; Bivalvia; Mytilida; Mytilidae.